RNAcentral lists this ribosomal RNA (414 nucleotides) under uncultured microorganism. RNAcentral describes it as "bacterial SSU rRNA". It matches the Rfam family "Archaeal small subunit ribosomal RNA", at positions 459 to 872 of the family's 1478-position model. The record is from RNAcentral.
CAGCCGCCGCGGUAAUACCGGCGGCCCGAGUGGCGGUCACUAUUAUUGGGCUUAAAGCGUCCGUAGCCGGGUUGGGAAGUCCUCCGGGAAAUCUGGCCGCUUAACGGUCAGAAUGCCGGAGGAUACUCCCAGCCUAGGGAGCGGGAGAGGCCGAGGGGAUUCCCGGAGUAGGGGUGAAAUCCUAUAAUCCCGGGAGGACCACCGGUGGCGAGGGCGCUCGGCUGGAACGCGUCCGACGGUGAGGGACGAAGGCCAGGGGAGCAAACCGGAUUAGAUACCCGGGUAGUCCUGGCGGUAAACGAUGCGGACUUUGUGUCGGACAAGCUAUGAGCUUGUCCGGUGCCGGAGGGAAACCGUUAAGUCCGCCGCCUGGGGAGUACGGCCGCAAGGCUGAAACUUAAAGGAAUUGGCGGG